UACGGGGGGGGCAAGCGUUGUUCGGAAUUACUGGGCGUAAAGGGCUCGUAGGUGGCCAACUAAGUCAGACGUGAAAUCCCUCGGCUUAACCGGGGAACUGCAUCUGAUACUGGAUGGCUUGAGAUUGGGAGAGGGAUGCGGAAUUCCAGGUGUAGCGGUGAAAUGCGUAGAUAUCUGGAGGAACACCGGUGGCGAAGGCGGCAUCCUGGACCAACACUGACGCUGAGGAGCGAAAGCUAGGGGAGCAAACAGG
This 253-nucleotide ribosomal RNA is filed under the name uncultured bacterium. RNAcentral's name for it is "partial 16S ribosomal RNA". It matches the Rfam family "Bacterial small subunit ribosomal RNA", at positions 524 to 776 of the family's 1533-position model. The record is from RNAcentral.